This 917-nucleotide ribosomal RNA is filed under the name Bacidia suffusa. RNAcentral describes it as "partial large subunit ribosomal RNA". It matches the Rfam family "Eukaryotic large subunit ribosomal RNA", at positions 34 to 967 of the family's 3401-position model. Lineage: Eukaryota; Fungi; Ascomycota; Lecanoromycetes; Lecanorales; Ramalinaceae. The record is from RNAcentral.
CUAGCAUAUCAAUAAGCGGAGGAAAAGAAACCAACAGGGAUUGCCUCAGUAACGGCGAGUGAAGCGGCAACAGCUCAAAUUUGAAAUCUGGCUCCUUUGGGGUCCGAGUUGUAAUUUGUAGAGGACGCUUCGGGUGCGGUGCCGGUCGAAGUCCCUUGGAACAGGGUGUCAUAGAGGGUGAGAAUCCCGUACGUGGCCGGCGACCAACCCCAUGUGAAGCUCCUUCGACGAGUCGAGUUGUUUGGGAAUGCAGCUCAAAAUGGGUGGUAAAUUUCAUCUAAAGCUAAAUACCGGCCAGAGACCGAUAGCGCACAAGUAGAGUGAUCGAAAGAUGAAAAGCACUUUGGAAAGAGAGUUAAACAGUACGUGAAAUUGUUGAAAGGGAAGCGCUUGCGACCAGACCUGUCCGUGGGUGCUCAGCGGGGGCUUGUUCCCCGCGCACUCACCCACGAUCAGGCCAGCAUCAGUUCUGGCGACCGGAUAAAGGCCCGGGGAAUGUAGCUCACCUUCGGGCGAGUGUUAUAGCUCCGGGUGGCAUACGGCCAGCCGGGACUGAGGACCGCGCUUCGGCAAGGAUGCUGGCGUAAUGGUUGCAAGCGGCCCGUCUUGAAACACGGACCAAGGAGUCUAACAUCUAUGCGAGUGUUUGGGUGUCAAACCCAUGCGCGCAAUGAAAGUGAAUGGAGGUCGGAGCCCAUCAGGGUGCACGAUCGACCGAUCUUGAAGUUUACGGAUGGAUUUGAGUAUGAGCAUAGCUGUUGGGACCCGAAAGAUGGUGAACUAUGCCUGAAUAGGGUGAAGCCAGAGGAAACUCUGGUGGAGGCUCGCAGCGGUUCUGACGUGCAAAUCGAUCGUCAAAUUUGGGUAUAGGGGCGAAAGACUAAUCGAACCAUCUAGUAGCUGGUUCCUGCCGAAUC